This 422-nucleotide ribosomal RNA is filed under the name uncultured Bacteroides sp. Its description in RNAcentral is "bacterial SSU rRNA". It matches the Rfam family "Bacterial small subunit ribosomal RNA", at positions 355 to 774 of the family's 1533-position model. Lineage: Bacteria; Pseudomonadati; Bacteroidota; Bacteroidia; Bacteroidales; Bacteroidaceae. The record is from RNAcentral.
UGAGGAAUAUUGGUCAAUGGGCGAGAGCCUGAACCAGCCAAGUAGCGUGAAGGAUGACUGCCCUAUGGGUUGUAAACUUCUUUUAUAAAGGAAUAAAGUCGGGUAUGGAUACCCGUUUGCAUGUACUUUAUGAAUAAGGAUCGGCUAACUCCGUGCCAGCAGCCGCGGUAAUACGGAGGAUCCGAGCGUUAUCCGGAUUUAUUGGGUUUAAAGGGAGCGUAGAUGGAUGUUUAAGUCAGUUGUGAAAGUUUGCGGCUCAACCGUAAAAUUGCAGUUGAUACUGGAUAUCUUGAGUGCAGUUGAGGCAGGCGGAAUUCGUGGUGUAGCGGUGAAAUGCUUAGAUAUCACGAAGAACUCCGAUUGCGAAGGCAGCCUGCUAAGCUGCAACUGACAUUGAGGCUCGAAAGUGUGGGUAGCAAACA